RNAcentral lists this unclassified non-coding RNA (1499 nucleotides) under Hevea brasiliensis (rubber tree). The record is from RNAcentral. Lineage: Eukaryota; Viridiplantae; Streptophyta; Magnoliopsida; Malpighiales; Euphorbiaceae.
AGAGAGAGAGAGAGAGAGAUGAAGAAAAGCAAGAUUUUGAUCGUAGGAGGAACUGGUUACUUGGGAAAGAGAUUGGCGAAGGCAAGUUUAGCAUUAGGCCAUGAAACAUACAUUCUCCAAAGGGAAGAGAUUGGUGUUGACAUUGAGAAGGUACAAAUGUUAUUGUCAUUUAAAGAACAAGGAGCUCAUCUUGUGCAAGGUUCUUUUGAUGAUCAACAAAGCCUUGUAGAAGCUGUGAAAUUAGUUGAUGUUGUUAUUUGUGCAAUUUCUGGUGUUCAUAUUAGAAGCCACCAAAUCCUCCUUCAACUCAGGCUUGUUGAUGCUAUCAAACAAGCUCCAAACGUUAAGAGAUUUGUGCCGUCAGAAUUCGGAACAGAUCCAGCAAGAAUGGAGAAAGCAAUGGAACCUGGAAGAAUCACAUUUGAUGACAAAAUGGUGGUGAGAAAUGCAAUUGAAGAAGCUGGAAUUCAAUUCACUUACAUUUCUGCCAAUUGUUUUGCUGGGUAUUUUCUUGGAGGACUCUGUCAACCUGGUCACAUCAUUCCUUCAAGAGAUCAUGUCUCCUUGCUUGGAGAUGCCAAUCAGAAAGCAAUCUAUGUUGAUGAAGAUGAUAUUUCUAUCUACACUAUUAAAACCAUAGACGACCCUCGUACCCUCAAUAAGACAGUUUAUAUUAGACCUCCCAAGAAUAUUUUGUCUCAGAGAGAAGUGGUUGAAAUUUGGGAGAAUUUGAUUGGCAAACAACUUCACAAGUCCACCAUUUCCAAAGAAGAGUUCCUACAUUUCAUUAAAGGUAAUAAUUUAUUAUUUAAAUUUUACUUUUGAGAAAAUUUUAUCUAAAAUUUGAUCACCAUAAACUCAUGACACGAAUGUAUAACAAAAAAUUUUCUCUCAUUUAAUUUAAUUUAUAGUUAAUUUCUUUAGAUUAAUCAAUAUAUGGGUUAUAAGAUUUCAAACCAAAAUGUUAAUUUUUUUUAAAAUUAACUCUUAUUAAUUUAUUUAUCCGUUAAAUUACAUGUUAAUAAUAUGAUAUUAAAAUCAAUAUACAACUCAUAAGUCAUUUGAAUAAUAAAUAUUAAUUUUUUUAUAAAUAUUAAUUUUGUUAAUUUAUUUUUAUAUUAAAAUUAGAAUUUGAGCUUAACUUUAAGCAAAUGAAUCAUUUGGUUGGCCUGAAUGAAAUCUCAAAUUUUCAAAAUAUUUUUAAUUUGAGUCAUUAUAUUUCAUAUUAGUUAAAAUAAAUCGUGGGUCCGUUUGAGUCGAAGCUUGUUCGAAUGGAUCAAAAUUUGCCACCUCUAGAUAUAUACUUUAAUUAUACUUUUUAAAAUUAAAAAUAAUUGAGACUCAUGUGGUAUUUAUUUAGCAUUGAAAUUGAAAGGUAAAAACUACUUUUUGGUAAAAAAAAAAAACGGCAGUUUAGAUGCUGAAAAAAUCAAUUUAGAAAAAAUUAAUUUGUUGUUUUAGUAUUUUUAUAAUUAAAAAUUUAUUAAAUUUAAUUUUAA